UCUUGACUCCACCUCUUCUAGAUUUUAAGGGCUGACCACCACUAAGGCAGCAUCACUUGGAGAUUGCUUCUCUGUGGAGAUUGUCUCAGUGUUUUCCAGACUGAAGGCUUCUAUACUGGAUGGGAAUAGCUCACAGCAGCCGAACCAUGAGCGGCGGAACGCUUUGCUGAAUGGGAGUUUUCAUCAUGCUGCCACGCUGCUUGACCUCCAAAUGCGUCGACACACUGCAGUAUCACUUAGACUGGGAAAGAAUGUCGCUGUGCUAUUGCCCAGGAGAUUCAGGAGGAUCCCAUUACAGCUAUGCAGUGCCUGUGUGUAAUGGCAAAAAGCAAGUAUGUAAGAAAACACAGUCUUAACUUAAGGACCCACUGCAGUCCAUCAGAUAAACCCAGCAUUUAAGGAUAAUACAAACGCCCAUUGUCAUCCAGGCACGCUCUUUACUUCUUAAAUAAUGUCUGCAGCAUGGUCUGCUUUUUUCUUAUGCAGUUAUCACAGCUCUGAAUGAUACAUUAAAAUUAUUCUUUGCAACCCCAUUUUAUUUCUUUUGUCCUUUAAAAUUACAUACUACUAACAGAUCAGAGGAAUGCUGCUGGUUUUCAACUUGAAGACAUAAGAAAUCCUAAAUAUAUAUAUUAAAAAAUCCAGGCUUGCAGAGCAGAUACCUUUUUGCUUUAUCAGCUGCUACGCCUGGAAGGAAAAAGGAUUCUCCACCCAAUGAUUUGGCCUCUUCGUCAGCUGUCUGGGCUGAGGAGAUGAACCCUACUCCUGUGCAAGGCACUUGGGCUGUGCUACCCUGCAUAAGAGCUGUCGCUUGGUUUUAUAGACUGCAAAAUGUCCCAAGGGUGGACUGGCCCAAUUGUUUCCUGGCUAGCAAGAAACAAAGGAAGGAAGGCCCUUUCUCUGGAGGCAGUUCAUCGAUCAGUGGGAUGCUGUGCUAUGAUGCACCACAAGGGAAGGAGAGCUCUGAGGGUCUGCAGGCAGGAAUGAAACAGUACAGCUGCACUCAUAUUCUGUCCCAAGUGAGGCAGAAAAUGGUAUAUACCUACCCCUCAGUUUCUCUCCAGGUCAAUUUCUAAACAAAGCUGUAGCAGUUCACUAUCCUGUUAUUUUUGCUAUGGCAGAAAGCAAGAACAAAAUGGUAAGCUCUUUGCUUGUGGCUGUGCAACAAAUCAGUCACCAGCAAAGAAUCCAUCACCAUUUCAUACAUAGCUUUAUAAACAGACCUUUUGGAACACAGCAAGAAUAGAUGGCCACCUCUCUGUCUUCAGUGAGAGCAGAAGUGCAGCCAUACCAGCUCCUUAUUCCUGUAUAGAGCAGUAGUGUUUGCUGGCUUUGUGCAUCCUGUAAAGUGACUGGCCUGAAAUACAGCAUUUAAGGGAUUAAAAAAAAAACCAACAAUUACCUGCUAUCUAAUGUAACUUUGCUGUCCUUACAGACCAGCAGUGUCCUCAACUAAAGCUAAUAGUGGUACAGAUCUCUGCAACAGAGUCUCUGUGAAAUGCACACAAUAGCCCGAUAAAAUACUAACAUAGGAGUAGGCAGACAUAAAAGGGCCAUAUAUUCAAAAUGCAUGAGUCUUGAUUUGCACCAAUAAAAGGCACAGGGCCAUGCAUCUUACAGGAAGCUGUACAUGCAUAAUUCAUACCAGUGAACAUAAAUGGCUGCUUGCAUAUGCAUAUACCUGUUUUCAUAUGCCUUUACCAAUACACUGGAGUAAUCGUUUGCCCAUAAAUGCACAUGCAUCUUCAGAUAUGAGAUUGGAACGUGUCCCCUGGCAUCUUUACACAUAUUUCUGUUUCUUCUCCCUGCUCUCUCAAUUAUGCCUUGUAAGAGGUCCUCAUAAAUCUCCACCUUUCUGCUGCGUUUUUUUUUCUUCCCAUCACCCUUUUUAUAACCAGGCCUGCAUAUCUUUGUUAUUUCUGUGGCAUUUCCAGUGCUGCUUUCUAAAAUGUCAACUCAGACUUGUCUGUUUUUAACCAAGUGACAAUGUGAUUAUCACUUCUCUCUUGGUCUCAGGCCAUGCCCUGACCACCUUGCUUUACUUAAUCAGCACAA
Long non-coding RNA from Coturnix japonica (Japanese quail), 2055 nucleotides. RefSeq lists it as uncharacterized. The record is from RefSeq and is a predicted model, not a curated record. NCBI's taxonomy places the organism in Eukaryota, Metazoa, Chordata, Aves, Galliformes, Phasianidae.